UCAAGUCCGAAGGCCAUCUGCUGAAGAAUUCUUUCCUUUUGGAGGAGGUGAGUCUUUUGUUCUCUUCAGGUCUUCAAUUGAUCGGAUGAGGCCCACCCACGUUGUGGAGCACAGUCAGCUUUACUUGUACACUGAUGGAAAUGUUACUCUCAUCCAAUGACCCCCUCACAGAAACAUCCAGAAAAUGUUUGACCAAAUAUCUGGACACCAAAUACACAGAUACCGAGUAAUGAAAGUAAUAAUAAUAGGCAUUUUUAUUUCGCUCUUCUUCCUAUGUGUUAGGUACCUCACGAAGCAUUCUACAAACAUCAUUUCAAUGAAUUGUCAUACAACUGCUUCUGCUAAGUGCUACUAUUAUGUUAUUUUUAUAAAUGAGGAAGUAACACUAAAGGAAAUUAAACUUUAAAGAGGUUUGUCUAAGGCUAUACAGCUAAUAGACAGUAGAGCUAGGACAUGAACCCAGUUUACGUGGUUCCAAAGCCAUGUUCUUAACAAACAAGCUAUACGCCACUUCUAGGCUACCAAUUUGUUUGCCACACUUUGGCAAACAAAUUUUUAGCAGAAUACUCUGCUAAAAAAAUCCUGGGUGAAAGAAUCCUGAAUUGGGAAUCAGGAGACAUUGCUUCUUUUAUUUUUUUUUUCAUUAAACACUAUUGAGCUAAAACUGUUGGAAGUAUAUUAUGCUCAGGAGAUACCAAGACCAAAUCAACUUCGGUGGGAGUUCAGAGAAAUAUGCAAUGUGCUAAAUUCUGCAUGGGGUAAGUAGGGUCACCUAACCCAGUCCUGGAGGACCAUCCAAGUUGAACAUUGAGGGCAGAGUAGGCAUGAGCUACAUGGACCGAGCUGGAAGAACAUGCAACAGAAUAGCGAGGACUCAGUUUUCUCACUGGUAAAACGAAGGAUAGAACUAAAAAAUAUCUAAGGUCCGUCCUGUAUUAGCUUUUUAUUGUUACCAUAACAAAUUACCGCAAAGUUAGCAGCUGGAACAAAGCAAAUUUAUUAUCAUUCAGUUCCAAAGGUUAAAAGUCUGACACAGGCCUCACUGGACUUAAAUCAAGGAAUUAUCCGCCAGGCUGUGUUUUUUUCUGGAAGCUCCAGAGAGAAUACUUUUCCUUUCUCCUUUAGGAUGUUUGGAAGAAUUCAGUUUCUUGCAGUUGUAGGACUGAGACCCUGUUUUCUUGCUGGCUGUCAUCUGAGGGCAGUUCCCAGGUUCUUGAGGCCACCGCAUUUCUUGGUUUAUGGUCAUCUUCCUCCAUCUUCACAGUCAGCCACACAUGCGAACACCAAGGACAUACAGCUCUUUGGGAAGCGUUGAAUGGAAAUAUUCUCCUUCCGCCCUCACUGGCUGAAUCGUGAGCUGUGUCUCGGGUCCUAGAAAUGAAGCGCUGCCCGGGCACGCAUGCGCACGACUGGAGCGCUGAAGGGGACUGUGCGACCUGUGAAAACUCUGUGUGCCACUCUGCAAACGAGUUAAUUACUCCUGACGGAGCAGGGCUUUCGAGGCGCUGUGUGAAAUUAAUGAAAAGCACUGCGAAGCAUUCACACGGAGGGGCUCUUUCCUUCAUUAGGGCCGCUGCUCACAGAGGACAUGAUCGCAUGGGAUCACUCACCUUUCCCCGUGAAAUCAGGUUGUGGGGGCCUGUGCGGUGCUCAGCGUGCGGCUUCCUCCUAGGCCACCACAUUUCACAGAACGUUCAAUAAAGUCUGCUUUUAGGAGCACAUCACUGCUCUUCUAGGGCUUCACUC
Molecule: long non-coding RNA, 1746 nt
Organism: Rhinolophus ferrumequinum (greater horseshoe bat)
Lineage: Eukaryota; Metazoa; Chordata; Mammalia; Chiroptera; Rhinolophidae
Exons: 2
Source: RefSeq, a predicted model, not a curated record